Molecule: long non-coding RNA, 489 nt
Organism: Amphiprion ocellaris (clown anemonefish)
Lineage: Eukaryota; Metazoa; Chordata; Actinopteri; Pomacentridae
Source: Ensembl
UCCCUCUAAAAGCUCUCUGUGUGGGGAACAGGAGAACCAGAGCAAAGCUCAGAGGUGAGACCAGCAUCUCUAACUGUCCAGGACUCUGGUGCAUGUCAGAGCUCAGUAUCACAUCACUGCUGCAUCAUUAUUCACAGGAAUCCACCUGGACCUGGACCUGGACAUGGACCUGGACCUGGACCUGCAUCCAGCUGUGUGUCCUUCAAGAGUGACUGGUCUAAUGAUCGCCUCAUUGAAUUCGAAGAUCAUCAACCUCCUGCUGCAGAGAAAAUCCAUCAGAGACCAGAGUCCUCUGGACCUGGACAUGGACCUGGACCUGGACCUGGACCUGCAUCCAGCUGUGUGUCCUUCAAGAGCGACUGGUCCAAGGAAGAUCCUCUUGACUUUAAAGGAGAACCAGGUCCUGCUGCAGAGGGAGUGGAGCAGCAGAACUCGGAGGUUCCCAGAGCUCAGUCUGUCCAGCAGCAUCACCUGGACUCCAUAUUCAUG